GAUGAACGCUAGCGGCAGGCUUAACACAUGCAAGUCGAGGGGUAUAGUAGCAAUACUAGAGACCGGCGCACGGGUGCGUAACGCGUAUGCAAUCUACCUUUCACAGAGGGAUAGCCCAGAGAAAUUUGGAUUAAUACCUCAUAGUAUAGUAUCUUGGCAUCAAGGAACUAUUAAAGUCACAACGGUGAAAGAUGAGCAUGUGUCCCAUUAGUUAGUUGGUAAGGUAACGGCUUACCAAGACUACGAUGGGUAGGGGUCCUGAGAGGGAGAUCCCCAACACUGGUACUGAGACACGGACCAGACUCCUACGGGAGGCAGCAGUGAGGAAUAUUGGACAAUGGGCGCAAGCCUGAUCCAGCCAUGCCGCGUGCAGGAUGACGGUCCUAUGGAUUGUAAACUGCUUUUGUACAGGAAGAAACACCCCGACGUGUCGGGACUUGACGGUACUGUAAGAAUAAGGAUCGGCUAACUCCGUGCCAGCAGCCGCCGUAA
Molecule: ribosomal RNA, 492 nt
Filed under: uncultured bacterium
Lineage: Bacteria
Description: partial 16S ribosomal RNA
Rfam family: Bacterial small subunit ribosomal RNA
Source: RNAcentral